RNAcentral lists this ribosomal RNA (497 nucleotides) under uncultured bacterium. Its description in RNAcentral is "partial 16S ribosomal RNA". It matches the Rfam family "Bacterial small subunit ribosomal RNA", at positions 28 to 507 of the family's 1533-position model. The record is from RNAcentral.
GAUGAACGCUGGCGGCGUGCCUAAUACAUGCAAGUCGAGCGAACGGACGAGAAGCUUGCUUCUCUGAUGUUAGCGGCGGACGGGUGAGUAACACGUGGAUAACCUACCUAUAAGACUGGGAUAACUUCGGGAAACCGUAGCUAAUACCGGAUAAUAUUUUGAACCGCAUGGUUCAAAAGUGAAAGACGGUCUUGCUGUCACUUAUAGAUGGAUCCGCGCUGCAUUAGCUAGUUGGUAAGGUAACGGCUUACCAAGGCAACGAUGCAUAGCCGACCUGAGAGGGUGAUCGGCCACACUGGAACUGAGACACGGGCCAGACUCCUACGGGAGGCAGCAGUAGGGACUGUUGCGCAAUGGGCGAAAGCCUGACGGAGCAACGCCGCGUGAGUGAUGAAGGUCUUCGGAUCGUAAAACUCUGUUAUUAGGGAAGAACAUAUGUGUAAGUAACUGUGCACAUCUUGACGGUACCUAAUCAGAAAGCCACGGCUAACUACGUG